Long non-coding RNA from Labeo rohita (rohu), 463 nucleotides. RefSeq lists it as uncharacterized. The record is from RefSeq and is a predicted model, not a curated record. The transcript is spliced from 3 exons. NCBI's taxonomy places the organism in Eukaryota, Metazoa, Chordata, Actinopteri, Cypriniformes, Cyprinidae.
GUUACCAGAUUAUGUGCGUACAACAAAAGAAAACGACUGAGCUUAAGAGUCUCCAGUUGUAUUGUCAUCUCACCGCCUGGAUGCUGCAGGAGGAAACUUGAGCUGUCCACUGAGGGGAAAUACACUAUAAGUGCCAGAUCAAACUCAACCAGACACAUGAGAAACACAGCUGUGUACUGUUCUAAAGCACAUCUCUUCUCUACUGUAGUUAAAUUGAUACUGUCUUUUCUCAUUAAUUACAGCAGGGAUGGAAACUACCUGGAUGUUGCAAGAGAAAAACACCACAGGUAACAGAGUUCAUUACUGUAGCAAUGGAAACCACCUUGAUGCCGCAAGAGGAAUCGCAGCCAGUCAACUGAGAUCAAAUAAAACUCUGUAUGAUACGAUCAUGGAGGUCAGACACAGGAACAGAAGAUGAACUCGAGUGUGGCUUUAUUGGAUGGUUCUGUAUGUGAAUAGAAAG